GGAUGCUGUGGCCCCCAGUUCUAUGGGAGAUUGUCGCUGAUUUGCUUGAAUCAUCCCGUGGGCUGGCAGUGAAGUAACAGCAGGAGCGCUACCAGUCCCUGCAGAAGGAGGGCAUUGGCUAUCAGAUCUCAUGAGGGGAAGUGCUAAAACUGGGGAGCCCUCCCAGUUUUCCCAGCACCUACGACUGGGCCUUAAUUUAGGCCUUCUACCACAGUCUGCAUUAGUCAUGUGCCAUCUGCAAAAUGACUCAGACAGGCCUGGGUUUUGCGCAGCCCAAUUGGACUGAUGGCUCUUGGCAGACAGGUCACCUGUGUGUGUGUUUGUGCUAGAUUUGUCCUUAGGGACAGUGGUUCCUAGGAUGGUGGCAAGGGUUGGAGGAAAGGGUGUGUCAGGGUCUGGCACACACUGGGCACCCCCUCUCUGAGCAUUCCUUGUUAGAUUUGGGGGCUUGGUUACAGGAGUCACCAGGCCACACUGAGUCCUGUGCAGUGCUGCCCUUCCCUCUAGGGCAGAGGGCCAUCCUCAAGCCGCCUGCCCUGGCCCAGAGGCUGUGCACCCACAGCUGUUGUGCUUCUGACCAUACUCAGGCAAGAGUCAGCGGCUUCUAUUAAUAACCGGCUCGGUGGCCCAGGGCCCAGGGUGGCCAGCAGCUCCUAUAAAGCCAGACCCACGAGUCCUGAGAGGCUCCUUCAGCCCCUGAGACCUUUAGCCCCCCUGUUGUACAGAGAGAAAAAGAAAAGUAUUUCUAUCUCACAUAUUCCAAAGAAAGAACCAGCUUCUGAGACUCAUGGGAGCUCACCUGAAAACCCUAGGAAUGUCUUGCCUGGUGGGCUCCACUCCACCCUGUCAUGUGGAGUGGCUAGAAGUCAGAAGAUGGCCUUUUAUGGCACCGGUUAAUGUAACUGUCUGGCUUGGAGGUCAAGAGUGGACACUGGGACUUUGGGCAGACCUGGGUUCAAAGCCUGAUCUUGCUACUCACUAGUGCUCUGUGACCCUGCAGCACCACCAUGCUCUGAGCUUGACUCACUUUUACCAUCUGCAAAAUGGAACUCAAAGAUUGAGGCUGAAGACCCGAUCACAUGCUCAUCUCAUGUACACGUUGUUCUGUCCCUCUGGUCUGUCACUGACACCCCUGCUCCCAGCCUGGGGAGGGCAGCUGGUAACUCACCAACAACUCCAGGGCCUGGGGUACAGGAGGCACACUGCCUACCUGCAAAAUUAACCCAAAUCGUGCUCAGAAACUGCAGACUGACAGCUGAUGCACCACCCCUAGUUUUGUCCUGUCCACACAGCUUCUCACAACAUUUAAAAUAUGCUGUCAGGAGCUCCCGUUGUGGC
Molecule: long non-coding RNA, 1338 nt
Organism: Phacochoerus africanus (Common warthog)
Lineage: Eukaryota; Metazoa; Chordata; Mammalia; Artiodactyla; Suidae
Exons: 4
Source: RefSeq, a predicted model, not a curated record